Molecule: ribosomal RNA, 392 nt
Filed under: uncultured bacterium
Lineage: Bacteria
Description: bacterial SSU rRNA
Rfam family: Bacterial small subunit ribosomal RNA
Source: RNAcentral
UAGGGAAUAUUGCAAAUGGGCGAAAGCCUGAUGUAGCAACGCCGCGUGUGCGAUGAAGGUCUUCGGAUUGUAAAGCACUUUUUGGAGGGAUGAGGAAGGACAGUACCUCCAGAAUAAGCCUCGGCUAACUACGUGCCAGCAGCCGCGGUAACACGUAGGAGGCAAGCGUUAUUCGGAUUUACUGGGCGUAAAGCGCGUGCAGGCGGUUUGGAAAGUUGGAUGUGAAAGCUCCUGGCUCAACUGGGAGAGGUCGUUCAAAACUUACAGACUUGAGAGUGGUAGAAGGAGGUGGAAUUCCGGGUGUAGUGGUGAAAUGCGUAGAUAUCCGGAGGAACACCAGUGGCGAAAGCGGCCUACUGGACCACUUCUGACGCUCAGAAGCGAAAGCUAGG